CUUUUAAGAUAUUUUCAGGCGAGAAUGUAGGUGUGUAAACUUCAAAUAUCUGCUUGUUUUAUCAAGACAUCCCAUAUUUAGCGACAGUGCUCUGACUACGUCGGUCCUGCCUGACAGCUAGCCGGCUACCUAGCUAGCUGCCGCACUUGGCUGCAAAUGGAUAGCGAGGGGACUCUCUGUCGUUUCACCUCCCCGGUCUCUCGCAAAUGCUCGCAUAGAAUCGGAGUUAUAGCUGGAUGUGGAAAAAAUAACUGAGUUGUUUGGUGGUGGAGCUACAACAGAGGGCAGCUACCCACCGGUGUGUGACAGAAAGGAUAUGCCGCCAACGAGACAUAUGAGGCCGGGCAGGCGAUUGCUAACGCGGUGGUCAAUCAUGGAUCAGGGAAAGUGAAGGCAGGAGCGUGAGGUGAACUGAAUUUCAGAAUCGGAGUUACAGCUGGAUGUGGAAAAAAUAACUGAGUUGUUUGGUGGUGGAGCUACAACAGAGGGCAGCUACCCACCGGUGUGUGACAGAAAGGACAUGCCGCCAACGAGACAUAUGAGGCCGGGCAGGCGAUUGCUAACGCGGUGGUCAAUCAUGGAUCAGG
This is a long non-coding RNA of Oreochromis aureus, 587 nucleotides long. The record is from Ensembl. Lineage: Eukaryota; Metazoa; Chordata; Actinopteri; Cichliformes; Cichlidae.